This 187-nucleotide unclassified non-coding RNA is filed under the name uncultured Eurotiomycetes. Its description in RNAcentral is "sequence contains ITS2". Lineage: Eukaryota; Fungi; Ascomycota; Eurotiomycetes. The record is from RNAcentral.
GCAACCCUCAAGCACGGCUUGUGUGUUGGGCUAUCGUGCCGACGAGUCCCCUCUUCCGGGGGGCGGUUCGUGGGCACGGGUCCGAAAUGCAGUGGCGGCGUCACGGUUCGACCUCGCAAGCGUAUGGGGCUCUGUCACACGCUGGGCGGUCGGACGUACCUACGCCUGUCGAAAACCAUAUUUCUCA